GACGAACGCUGGCGGUGUGCUUCACACAUGCAAGUCGAACGAGGUAGCAAUACCUAGUGGCGGACGGGUGAGUAACGCGUGGGAAUCUGCCCAAGGGUGGGGGAUAACUAGCCGAAAGGUUAGCUAAUACCGCAUAUGCCGUGAGGUAAAAGGAGUAAUCCGCCCCUGGAUGAGCCUGCGUCCGAUUAGCUAGUUGGUAAGGUAAAGGCUUACCAAGGCUACGAUCGGUAGCUGGUCUGAGAGGAUGAUCAGCCACAAUGGGACUGAGACACGGCCCAUACUCCUACGGGAGGCAGCAGUGGGGGAAUUUUACGCAAUGGGGGAAACCCUGACGUAGCGACACCGCGUGAGCGAAGAAGCCCUUUGGGGUGUAAAGCUCUGUCAGCAGGAACGAAAAAAAUAGACGGUACCUGCAGAGGAAGCAUCGGCUAACUACGUGCCAGCAGCCGCGGUAAU
This 456-nucleotide ribosomal RNA is filed under the name uncultured bacterium. RNAcentral's name for it is "bacterial SSU rRNA". It matches the Rfam family "Bacterial small subunit ribosomal RNA", at positions 28 to 524 of the family's 1533-position model. The record is from RNAcentral.